This 683-nucleotide ribosomal RNA is filed under the name Microbacterium sp. Its description in RNAcentral is "bacterial SSU rRNA". It matches the Rfam family "Bacterial small subunit ribosomal RNA", at positions 95 to 792 of the family's 1533-position model. The record is from RNAcentral. Lineage: Bacteria; Bacillati; Actinomycetota; Actinomycetes; Micrococcales; Microbacteriaceae.
GUGGCGAACGGGUGAGUAACACGUGAGCAAUCUGCCCCUGACUCUGGGAUAACAGUUGGAAACAGCUGCUAAUACCGGAUAUGAGACGUGACCGCAUGGUCGACGUUUGGAAAGAAUUUCGGUCAGGGAUGAGCUCGCGGCCUAUCAGCUUGUUGGUGAGGUAAUGGCUCACCAAGGCGUCGACGGGUAGCCGGCCUGAGAGGGUGACCGGCCACACUGGGACUGAGACACGGCCCAGACUCCUACGGGAGGCAGCAGUGGGGAAUAUUGCACAAUGGGCGAAAGCCUGAUGCAGCAACGCCGCGUGAGGGACGACGGCCUUCGGGUUGUAAACCUCUUUUAGCAGGGAAGAAGCGAAAGUGACGGUACCUGCAGAAAAAGCGCCGGCUAACUACGUGCCAGCAGCCGCGGUAAUACGUAGGGCGCAAGCGUUAUCCGGAAUUAUUGGGCGUAAAGAGCUCGUAGGCGGUUUGUCGCGUCUGCUGUGAAAACUGGAGGCUCAACCUCCAGCCUGCAGUGGGUACGGGCAGACUAGAGUGCGGUAGGGGAGAUUGGAAUUCCUGGUGUAGCGGUGGAAUGCGCAGAUAUCANGAGGAACACCGAUGGCGAAGGCAGAUCUCUGGGCCGUAACUGACGCUGAGGAGCGAAAGGGUGGGGAGCAAACAGGCUUAGAUACCCUGGUA